GCUACACAUGCAGUCGAGGGGUAUAGUUCUUCGGAACUAGAGACCGGCGCACGGGUGCGUAACGCGUAUGCAAUCUACCUUUCACAAAGGGAUAGCCCAGAGAAAUUUGGAUUAAUACCUUAUAGUAAUACGACUUGGCAUCAAGAUGUAUUUAAAGAUUUAUCGGUGAAAGAUGAGCAUGCGUCCCAUUAGCUAGUUGGUAAGGUAACGGCUUACCAAGGCAACGAUGGGUAGGGGUCCUGAGAGGGAGAUCCCCCACACUGGUACUGAGACACGGACCAGACUCCUACGGGAGGCAGCAGUGAGGAAUAUUGGACAAUGGGCGCAAGCCUGAUCCAGCCAUGCCGCGUGCAGGAUGACGGUCCUAUGGAUUGUAAACUGCUUUUAUACAGGAAGAAACACUCGGACGUGUCCGAGCUUGACGGUACUGUAGGAAUAAGGAUCGGCUAACUCCGUGCCAGCAGCCGCGGUAAUACGGAGGAUCCAAGCGUUAUCCGGAAUCAUUGGGUUUAAAGGGUCCGUAGGCGGUCAGAUAAGUCAGUGGUGAAAGCCCAUCGCUCAACGGUGGAACGGCCAUUGAUACUGUCUGACUUGAAUUAUUAGGAAGUAACUAGAAUAUGUAGUGUAGCGGUGAAAUGCUUAGAGAUUACAUGGAAUACCAAUUGCGAAGGCAGGUUACUACUAA
RNAcentral lists this ribosomal RNA (685 nucleotides) under bacterium 76_oclvp68. Its description in RNAcentral is "bacterial SSU rRNA". It matches the Rfam family "Bacterial small subunit ribosomal RNA", at positions 48 to 735 of the family's 1533-position model. RNAcentral also lists the same sequence under 1 other name. The record is from RNAcentral.